This 4266-nucleotide ribosomal RNA is filed under the name Triticum aestivum (bread wheat). RNAcentral's name for it is "partial small subunit ribosomal RNA". The record is from RNAcentral. Lineage: Eukaryota; Viridiplantae; Streptophyta; Magnoliopsida; Poales; Poaceae.
AUGGCAUCUCAUGCUGAAAUGACAGGAAGCAAUAUGCUACGUCUUCAAAGCUUUCCUAGUAAUAUGGGAAAACAAAGGAGUAGUUUUAUCUCCACAAGACACCUUCCCUUGAGAAGGCCACGAGUGGUUCGACAUUGCCUGGACCUACGUCAUCUUUGCCGCUUACCUAAUCAAAGGGCUAUUGUUCCAAAUAUCAGAACAAUGCCUCCUCUCACUGCCGCAGUAUCCAGGGGAGUUAAUAGUCCAUUGAUAGAGGCAUCUGUCGAUGACAUGGAAUUAGUUUCAAGGAUUAUUCACUUUUAUCGCAAACCACUUCUUCAAGAGAGUGAGGCCAAGGAGUUACUCAGGAAAGUGCAGGCAAAGGUUUCUUCUAAUAUUAUUGAUAUAAAGACUGAGCAAUGCUUCAAUGUUGAGUUGGAGGAUUCACUAAGUUCUGCGAAGCUUGCAACACUUAAGUGGCUCCUAGCAGAAACUUAUGAACCUGACAACUUACAAACAGGGAGCCUUCUGGAGGAGGAGGUUUCUAUGAGUCCUUAUUCCUUCCUUGUUGAGGUCGGUCCCCGGAUGACAUUUUCGACAGCUUUCUCGACUAAUGCUGUCUCGAUUUGUAAAGCUCUAUCUUUAAUGGAAGUAACUCGCCUGGAGAGGUCUAGAAGAUAUCUUUUGUGCCUUCAGCCUGGUAGUGACCCACUUGAUGAAAGCCAACUCAACAGCUUUGCUGCUCUGGUUCAUGACAGGAUGACAGAGUGUGUUUAUCCUAGCAAGCUCACAUCAUUCCGGUCAGAUGUAGUUCCAGAACCUGUCAGUGUUAUACCAGUCAUGGAAAAGGGAAGGGAAGCACUGGAGGAAAUAAAUCUUCAAAUGGGGCUGGCUUUUGAUGAACAAGAUAUCAAGUACUACACUCACCUCUUCAGAGAUGACAUCAAACGCAAUCCAACUACCGUGGAACUUUUUGACAUAGCGCAAUCCAAUAGUGAGCACAGCAGACAUUGGUUUUUUAAUGGAAAGCUUGAGAUAGAUGGAGAGACCAUGCCAAGUACUUUGUUUCAGUUAGUAAAGAGUCCCUUAAAAGCUAACCCUAAUAACUCUAUUAUUGGAUUCAAGGAUAACUCGAGCGCAAUAAAAGGCACCCUUGUAAAUCACCUACGUCCAGCACUACCUGGUUCCGCUUCACCGUUAUCCCUUAUGACGCGUGAACUGGGCAUUCUGUUCACAGCAGAAACCCAUAAUUUUCCAUGUGCCGUGGCACCCUACCCAGGAGCUGAAACAGGUGCAGGUGGUCGUAUAAGAGACACGCAUGCCACUGGAAAAGGUUCAUUUGUUGUUGCCUCAACUGCUGGUUAUUGUGUUGGAAACCUUCAAAUUGAAGAAUCAUACGCACCUUGGGAGGAUUCAUCCUUUUCAUACCCAUCAAACUUAGCUUCUCCAUUGCAGAUUCUUAUUGAUGCUAGCGACGGUGCUUCUGACUAUGGGAACAAGUUUGGCGAGCCUUUAAUUCAGGGAUUUACAAGAAAUUUUGGUUCUAGGUUGCCAAAUGGGGAGCGCCGUGAAUGGCUGAAGCCAAUAAUGUUCAGUGGAGCAAUUGGGCAGAUUGACCAUGCACACAUAUCGAAAGGGGAUCCAGAAAUUGGCAUGCUAGUCGUGAAGAUUGGUGGUCCAGCAUACAGAAUUGGUAUGGGUGGUGGUGCUGCCUCAAGUAUGGUUAGCGGACAGAAUGAUGCAGAGCUCGAUUUUAAUGCAGUUCAGCGGGGAGAUGCUGAGAUGGCACAGAAAUUAUAUCGUGUGGUCAGGGCAUGUGCAGAAAUGGGGGAGAAGAAUCCAAUCAUCAGCAUUCAUGAUCAGGGAGCUGGAGGAAACUGCAAUGUUGUGAAAGAAAUAAUCUAUCCUAAGGGUGCUGAAAUUGACAUCCGCUCAAUUGUUGUUGGUGAUCACACAUUGUCUGUGUUGGAGAUCUGGGGUGCUGAAUACCAGGAACAAGAUGCAUUAUUGGUGAAGCCUGAGAGUAGAAACCUGUUGCAGUCACUUUGUGAGAGAGAAAGAGUUUCAAUGGCUGUCCUUGGUGAAAUUGAUGGUAGUGGAAAAAUUGUUUUGAUUGACGGUGCUGCUGUGGAGCAUGCAAAGUUGAGUGGCCUUCCGCCACCACCACCUGUUGUUGAUCUUGAGCUUGAAAAGGUUUUAGGAGAUAUGCCUCAGAAGACCUUUGAAUUCAAGCGCGUUUCUCGAUCGAGUGAGCCCUUAGACAUAGCACCCGAGGUUACACUGAUGGAUGUUCUUAAGCGAGUAUUGAAGCUUCCCUCUGUAUGUUCAAAGCGUUUCUUGACCACUAAGGUUGACAGGUGUGUGACAGGUCUUGUUGCACAACAGCAGACGGUUGGCCCUCUCCAACUUCCACUUGCUGAUGUUGCUGUAAUUGCACAGACUUACACAGAUCUGACAGGUGGUGCUUGUGCCAUUGGAGAACAACCGAUAAAGGGUUUACUUAAUCCUGAGGCCAUGGCAAGGCUUGCUGUUGGGGAGGCAUUGACCAAUCUGGUUUGGGCUAAAGUUACAUCUCUUGCUGACGUCAAAGCAAGUGGCAAUUGGAUGUAUGCUGCAAAGAUUGAUGGAGAGGGAGCAGAUAUGUAUGAUGCUGCUGUCGCAAUGGCUGACUGCAUGAUUCAACUUGGUAUUGGAAUUGAUGGAGGAAAGGAUAGUCUUUCUAUGGCAGCUCAAUGUGAUGGCGAGCUAGUCAAAGCUCCAGGAAAUCUUGUUAUCAGUGCUUAUGUGACAUGUCCUGAUAUAACCUUGACUGUUACUCCAGAUCUAAAGCUUGGGAAGGAUGGGGUUCUGUUGCAUGUUGACCUGGCUAAAGGAAAGCGACGACUUGGUUGUUCUGCUCUCGCACAAGCAUUUGAUCAAAUUGGAAAUGACUGCCCAGACAUAGAAGAUGUCCCUUACUUGAAAAAGGUCUUUGAGGUUGUUCAAGAAUUGCUCAGUGAGCGCCUGAUUUCUGCCGGUCAUGACAUUAGUGAUGGUGGGCUUAUUGUCACUAUUCUUGAGAUGGCAUUUGCUGGUAACUGUGGUGUUAACCUCAACAUAGAAUCAAAAGAUAAUGACCUUCUUCAAACACUUUUUGCGGAAGAGCUUGGUCUUGUAAUUGAAGUGCAUUUGGAUGACCUUGAUCUAGUGAAGCAAAAACUUGAUGCAGCAGGGGUUUCUGCUGAUGUGAUAGGAGAAGUAACUGCAGCACCAGAAAUAGAGCUACUUGUUGAUGGUGAGGUGCGUUUGAAAGAAAGAACUUCAGACCUCAGAGAUUUGUGGGAGGAAACAAGCUUUCAGCUUGAGGAGCUACAGCGGCUGAAAUCUUGUGUCAAGCUUGAGAAAGAAGGCUUAAAAAGCCGAACAUCCCCUUUAUGGCAUUUGUCUUUUACGCCCAAAUUCACAGACAAGAAACUACUGUCUGCAUCCUCGAAACCGAAGGUUGCCAUCAUUCGCGAAGAAGGGAGCAACAGUGAUAGGGAAAUGUCUGCUGCAUUCCAUGCUGCUGGUUUUGAACCGUGGGACAUCACAAUGUCGGAUCUCUUGAACCAGAAGGCUGAUCUAAUGGAAUUCCGUGGGAUCGCAUUUGUUGGUGGAUUUAGCUAUGCAGAUGUUCUUGACUCAGCGAAAGGUUGGGCUGCAUCUAUCAGGUUCAACCAGCCCCUCAUACAGCAGUUCCAGGAGUUCUACAAUAGGCAAGACACAUUCAGCCUUGGGGUCUGCAAUGGGUGUCAGCUCAUGGCUCUUCUUGGUUGGGUACCAGGACCCGAUAUUGGAGGCUCGCUUGGUGCAGGUGGAGACAUGUCCCAGCCAAGGUUCACUCACAAUGAAUCUGGCCGUUUUGAAUGUCGGUUUAUCAGUGUGGCCAUUGGGGAUUCUCCUUCUAUAAUGUUCAAAGGUAUGGAAGGCUCUACACUGGGCAUUUGGAGUGCUCAUGGUGAAGGUAGAGCCUUCUUCCCAGAUGAAAAUGUCUUGUCUGAUGUUGUGAAAUCUAAUCUGGCCCCUCUGAGGUACUGCGAUGAUGCUAAUAACGUCACAGAGGUAUAUCCUUUCAACCCUAAUGGCUCUCCGCUUGGUAUUGCGGCCCUUUGCUCCCCUAAUGGAAGGCACCUUGCGCUGAUGCCACACCCAGAGCGUUCCUUUAUGAUGUGGCAAUACCCAUGGUAUCCCAAGGAGUGGCAGGUUGAGAAGAGUGGUCCCAGUCCUUGGUUGCGCAUGUUCCAGAAUGCAAGAGAAUGGUGUUCAUAG